AACACGGUUCGUAUGUACCUGCGGAAGGAUCAUUAUCGUAGGGCUUCGGCCCUGUCGAGAUAGAACCCUUGCCUUUUUGAGUACCUCUUGUUUCCUCGGCGGGCUCGCCCGCCGAUGGACCCCCCCAAAAAACACUUUGCAGUACCUGUAAUAGUCUGAACAACAAACAAAAAUUAAAACUUUCAACAACGGAUCUCUUGGUUCUGGCAUCGAUGAAGAACGCAGCGAAAUGCGAUAAGUAGUGUGAAUUGCAGAAUUCAGUGAAUCAUCGAAUCUUUGAACGCACAUUGCGCCCUUUGGUAUUCCUUAGGGCAUGCCUGUUCGAGCGUCAUUUAAACCUUCAAGCUCAGCUUGGUGUUGGGUGACUGUCCCCCUCAAAAGGGACUCGCCUCAAAAUCAUUGGCGGCCGGUACGUUGGCUUCGAGCGCAGCAGAAACGCGAACUCGGAGACUUUGUGUCGGCUCCCAGAAGCCAUCUUUAAAUUUUGACCUCGGAUCAGGUAGGGAUACCCGCUGAACUUAAGCAUAUCAUAA
Molecule: ribosomal RNA, 533 nt
Filed under: fungal endophyte
Lineage: Eukaryota; Fungi
Description: eukaryotic LSU rRNA
Rfam family: 5.8S ribosomal RNA (bases 178-331)
Source: RNAcentral